GGAAGACUCCUAUCCCCAGAGCUGCGUGGUGGAAGUAUUGGUGCAAAAAACUUGGAGAAUGAUGUAACUUCCAGAAAACUUCAAGUAGUCCCAGCUAAACUUUUCUUGUUUACAAGAUGACUUUUGGACAAAGAUGAUAUGGCGCAUUUCCCUUUGGAGCACAUUUUUACAGCUGUAUUAUAAAUUCCUAAAUUGAGGCUCUAGACCUUGCCCCAACAUUUAUCCAACAGAGAAAGUUAUGUAAAAAUACACUAGAGGAUCACUCAUUGAAGUCGAGACGAAACGCUCCUUUCACUAUCACGGACUGUAAGAAAGAAAUGGAGACGGCGGGUUGGCAGGGCCCUAUAUGCAGAGCCAUGAAGGCGUGACUCCAGGGGGUUCCAGAGCCAACCCAACGGGUGCUGCUGGGGGAAAACCUUCCAGUGAACUGUGCACGUGGCAUGCACACACCUAAUUGAAAUCGAUAUGAGCAAGCACUCGAAAAAGAAAAAAUAUUUUGGUACAAAAUUCUGUGCAUAUGUACUAAUUAUAUAGGAAAUAAAAUUUGGUUUCAUUCCACAUCUUCUAAACAGAAGAAAAACCUGUAAUUUAAUUAUAAUGAAUGUUAAAGGGUAUAUCUAAUCCAGGAGAAAAUGCUUAAUUCAACGGCUGUACU
This is a long non-coding RNA of Terrapene triunguis (Three-toed box turtle), 655 nucleotides long. RefSeq lists it as uncharacterized. Lineage: Eukaryota; Metazoa; Chordata; Testudines; Emydidae. The record is from RefSeq and is a predicted model, not a curated record. The transcript is spliced from 3 exons.